Molecule: ribosomal RNA, 390 nt
Filed under: uncultured bacterium
Lineage: Bacteria
Description: bacterial SSU rRNA
Rfam family: Bacterial small subunit ribosomal RNA
Source: RNAcentral
ACCUAAUAGAUACCCUGGUAGUCCACGCCCUAAACGAUGCGAACUGGAUGUUGGGUACAAUUACGGUACUCAGUGUCGAAAGCUAAACGCGUUAAGUUCGCCGCCUGGGGAGUACGGUCGCAAGACUGAAACUCAAAGGAAUUGACGGGGGCCCGCACAAGCGGUGGAGUAUGUGGUUUAAUUACGAUGCAACGCGAAGAACCUUACCUGGCCUUGACAUCUGUCGAAUCCUGCAGAGAUGCGGGAGUGCCGCAAGGAACGACAAGACAGGUGCUGCAUGGCUGUCGUUAGCUCGUGUCGUGAGAUGUUGGGUUAAGUCCCGCAACGAGCGCAACCCUUGUCCCUAGUUGCCAGCACAUCAUGGUGGGUAACUCUAGGGAGACUGCCGGU